RNAcentral lists this ribosomal RNA (253 nucleotides) under uncultured bacterium. RNAcentral's name for it is "partial 16S ribosomal RNA". It matches the Rfam family "Bacterial small subunit ribosomal RNA", at positions 524 to 776 of the family's 1533-position model. The record is from RNAcentral.
UACGAAGGGUGCAAGCGUUACUCGGAAUUAUUGGGCGUAAAGCGCGCGUAGGCGGUUACUUAAGUCGGAUGUGAAAGCCCUCGGCUUAACUGAGGAAGUGCAUCCGAAACUGAGUAGCUAGAGUACGAAAGAGGGUCGCGGAAUUCCCGGUGUAGAGGUGAAAUUCGUAGAUAUCGGGAGGAACACCGGUGGCGAAGGCGGCGACCUGGGUCGAGACUGACGCUGAUGCGCGAAAGCGUGGGGAGCAAACAGG